Long non-coding RNA from Daphnia magna, 1058 nucleotides. RefSeq lists it as uncharacterized. Lineage: Eukaryota; Metazoa; Arthropoda; Branchiopoda; Diplostraca; Daphniidae. The transcript has 4 exons. The record is from RefSeq and is a predicted model, not a curated record.
AUCCGUUUGGUAUACUUGCUUCUCUGAAUUCAGUAAAAGUAAAGUAACAAUAAAGUAAAUUUGGUGGGGUAAAAUAGACUUUAUCCAAAACAACUUUACACAUCAUUACUUUUUUAAGAUUUUUACGUAAUGGCAAAAUUUACGUUUUUGAAAUUUAUUGAAAAUGUUGAAUGGAAGGCAAGUCAAAGCAUAGUUUUUAAACUGCCAUCAUUUUUGAAGCGUCUGUCAAAGUUGAUUGCGUUAAUUACUCGUUAGCUGUAUGAGCAUGUUCAGAUAAAAAUUAAAGAAAUGUCGCAUUUUAUAAUUGAAGUACCGAAAGAAUCUCCGUUAAAAGGAUGCUGGAUCUAUAUUGUUGCCAAGAAUUGGAUAUUGGACCAUUCUUCUUCUCCCGCAUAUAAACAGAGCUUACUCGUCAAUGGAAAGGACCCAGAUAUUCAAACUUGGGAACGCAAUUCCUCAUUUAAAGUUAUCCAACAAUUUGACUAAUAUGAAGAAGCAACAGAAAAUCUGCCACGACCUAAGAAAGGCUUACCAAUUAUCAAUAGUGCAUCUGAAAUUGGAAGAGGUUAUCGAAAAAGGAUUGGAAAACAUAGAAAACUGCUUGGUGAAAUUUAAUCGACUGAGCAAGACAAUGAAAAAGAAAAUGAGAGUUUAACUCAAACUACAAAGUCAAUGUUGAAGAAGAAAACUACACCUUUUAAAAGAAAAUGUUCAUCUGAAGCUACAAAGCUUCCUCUGCCACCUUCUACGCUAAGAUGUAAAAGGAAGAAUGUCAGACCAAAUAGCAGUUAACAAAUAGCAGAAUCCACUACGAAAGUACCAUCAGUUACAACUGCAUCUCUUGCUGGGCAAUCUGGACUAUCAGAAAAUAAAAAAGGCAGAUGUAAUGCAGUAAACAAUUAGAGGAGCUGUUCGACAGAAGUGAUGCCUUUCCAUAAAAAUAAUGCAAUCCAAGAAAAGCUGAAUGAUGAUGAUGAUAUUCACAGUGACAGUAUCGAAGAAGUUGAUAUUGACGAACUAAAUGUCCCUAUUGGGCAGAAGUAUUCAGUUUUCUUACU